This is a long non-coding RNA of Cydia fagiglandana, 2319 nucleotides long. RefSeq lists it as uncharacterized. NCBI's taxonomy places the organism in Eukaryota, Metazoa, Arthropoda, Insecta, Lepidoptera, Tortricidae. The transcript is spliced from 3 exons. The record is from RefSeq and is a predicted model, not a curated record.
UAAAAUCAAUUAUAUAACUACUGUGAGUUAAAUGUAAUGCACGUGUUACAACAACGCUACAUGCAACAUUUAUUAUUAUAAUGGUGUUUUUAUAUUUUACUUUUAUAUUCAUAUUAUAAAUGACCUAGCCUAAGAAGAAUGAUAAAUAAAGACUAAAAUAAGAAAUAUCUACAUUGUUGUAUGUACCUAUUUAUAUUAGCGCAGAGGCGUCAUAUUUUUUUUUGCAAAACAGUCAAUUUGGCUAAUUUAUUCUACAAGAAUAAAGUGCCAAAUUGUCUCAAUGGCUCGCCUGCUGUGCUCGCUUGGAUAUAAUUAAGAGUAAUUGGUGCGCGAAUUGGUUCUAAAUGGAUUAACGGCCCAAGGUCACAUUCACCCUGUAGUAUACAUAACUCGGUAAAGACAAGUAAUCAACUCUUAACAUAUUUACAAAACACAUUAUUUACAAUAUUCAAACGAUUGUAGUUUCCUACACAAAUAAAUCUGCGUCUAUGGGAUAAAUGCGCACUAGAAUCAUAACUACUGAUGCAGUUGUAGUGCAGUUUUUUUCCAUCGUAAUAUUUUCACGGAAACUUACGAACGUGUAUUGCUAUUUUAGUCAGUCUCGGAACAAAAAGUACGCUUCAUAAUAAGCUGUCUGAUGUAGUCUGUGAGCGUCAUAGCAUGGUGUCCUAAUAGGGACACUGCGUACAAAAUGUAAUCGCAUCUAAACCUAUUUUUUUUUCUAGAUGCGCAAUUGCCCCAUGGACGCAAUUACCUUAUAAAUGAUCGCAUUUUGUCUACUUUGAGUAUUACUAUUUGUAAUUAUUCAAGACGUUUUCUUUCGUCGAGUUAACGUAGCUCAUGAAAUUAACAUUAACACUUAAAAAUCGAAUCAAUCAAUCAAAUGUACAUCUCACUCUUCUCUGUCUCUUUUUUUGCAAGUUAACGAAAAGUGAUAGAGAACGACACUAAAAUACUGCCUAAGAUGCAAAACUAUCUUGGCAUAAAAGUUUGCCGUUCAUAGUGCUAGCUCACUUCGGAAAAAUCAUUGUAUUCUAAUUACAGUCGAGUCGCAUCAUGGUAAACUCAGGGCAUGACAUAUUUCGCAACAGUAUGGUUUUUCUAUUAAGCCUACUAAGUCAGUGAUUAUGUUGUUGAUGUUUUCGGUGAUGGGAUGGGAGGGGUUUGUCCGGAUGAUAUAUCGGCGCUCGUCCGUCGCGUCAUGGAGUUUACAAAAUACUUGCGUUCAGUUACAUAUUUCGCAACAAUAUGGUUUUUCCACUAAGCCUACUAACUCAGGAGUGAUGUUGUUGUAGAUGUUUCUUCUUCGGUGAUGGGGUGGGAGGGAUUUGUCCGGUUAGUAUGCCGCCGCUCGUCCGUCGCAUUAUAGAGUUUACAAGAAACUUGCGGCAUCAGUUGCAUAUUUCUCAACAGUAUGUUUUUUCUAUUAAGCCUACUAAUUCAAGAGUGGUGUUGUUGUUGGUGUUUCUUCUUCGGUGGUGGGGUGGGAGGGGUUUGUCCGGCCGAUAUGCCGCCGCUCGUCCGUUGCGUCAGAUGACAUGUUUCGCAACAGUAUGGUUUUUCCACUAAGCCUACUAACUUAGGAGUGAUGUUGUUGUUGGUGUUUCUUCUUCGGUGGUGGGGUGGGAGGGGUUUGUCCGGCCGAUAUGCCGCCGCUCUUCCGUUGCGUCAGAGAGUUUACAAGAAACUUGCGACAUCAUAUCAGUAUUAUCAGUGACAUGUUUCGCAACAGUAUGGUUUUUCCACUAAGCCUACUAACUUAGGAGUGAUGUUGUUGUUGGUGUUUCUUCUUCGGUGGUGGGGUGGGAGGGGUUUGUCCGGCCGGUAUGCCGCCGCUCGUCCGUUGCGUCAGAGUUUACAAUAAACUUGCGACAUCAUAUCAGUAUUAUCAGUGACAUGUUUCGCAACAGUAUGGUUUUUCCACUAAGCCUACUAACUUAGGAGUGAUGUUGUUGUUGGUGUUUCUUCUUCGGUGGUGGGGUGGGAGGGGUUUGUCCGGCCGAUAUGCCGCCGCUCUUCCGUUGCGUCAGAGAGUUUACAAGAAACUUGCGACAUCAUAUCAGUAUUAUCAGUGACAUGUUUCGCAACAGUAUGGUUUUUCCACUAAGCCUACUAACUUAGGAGUGAUGUUGUUGUUGGUGUUUCUUCUUCGGUGGUGGGGUGGGAGGGGUUUGUCCGGCCGGUAUGCCGCCGCUCGUCCGUUGCGUCAGAUGACAUGUUUCGCAACAGUAUGGUUUUUCCACUAAGCCUACUAACUCAGGAGUGAUGCUGUUGUUGGUGUUUCUUCUUCGGUGGUGGGGUGGGAGGGGUUUGUCCGGC